This is an unclassified non-coding RNA of Pongo abelii (Sumatran orangutan), 148 nucleotides long. It matches the Rfam family "Metazoan signal recognition particle RNA". Rfam says of the family: The signal recognition particle (SRP) is a universally conserved ribonucleoprotein. It is involved in the co-translational targeting of proteins to membranes. The eukaryotic SRP consists of a 300-nucleotide 7S RNA and six proteins: SRPs 72, 68, 54, 19, 14, and 9. The record is from Ensembl. Lineage: Eukaryota; Metazoa; Chordata; Mammalia; Primates; Hominidae.
GCCAGGUAUGGUGGUGCAUGCCUGUAGUCCCAGCUACCUGGGAGGCUGAGGCUGGAGGAUCACUUGUGCCGAGGAGUUCAAGGCUGCAAUGAGUUACGGUAAACCCACUGCACUCUAGCCUUGGCAACAGAGUGAGACUUUGCCUCUA